This 107-nucleotide small nuclear RNA is filed under the name Dasypus novemcinctus (nine-banded armadillo). The record is from RNAcentral. Lineage: Eukaryota; Metazoa; Chordata; Mammalia; Cingulata; Dasypodidae.
AUGCUCACUUCGGCAGCACGUCUACUGAAAUCGGGAUGACACAGGGAAGGUUAGCAUGGCCCUUGCGCAAAGAUGACCCGCAAAUUCGUGACGUGUUCUGUAUUUUU